Molecule: long non-coding RNA, 1907 nt
Organism: Bos taurus (domestic cattle)
Lineage: Eukaryota; Metazoa; Chordata; Mammalia; Artiodactyla; Bovidae
Source: Ensembl
GGGGCCCUUCAGCGGGGCUGUGAUCAUAUCUCUUCCCUCCACUGUCGUCCUAGAAUGGAAGCCAAGCGUCCACACGCAGGCUGCCUGGGGGGCUGCUCUCCAGACAGACGGCUGUCUCCAACAGAACAAACUCAGGGCACGGUCCCUGGGCUUCUAGUCUUUGGAGAGGCCCUGUGGCUUUGGCUACUGGUGGCCACCCUCUCCUGGGGCUGUGCUCUUGCAGGGAAAGCAGUUGUCAGUUUCCUUACGCUUUUAAAAUUAUGUUUAUCACACAAGUAAGCCUCUGUCAUAUUAUGUUUAUCACACAAGUAACCCAAAUUCAUCAUUAAAAAAACUAGAAAAUUAAAACAAAAAUGAAAGUUUAAACCACCCAGUAAUCCUGUGAUUUAGAGGUAAGUAUUGUUAACGCAGGGCUUCCCUGGUGGCUCAGACUGUAAAGAAUCUGCCUGCGAUGCAGGAGACCUAGGUUGCAUUCCUGGUCGGGAAGAUCCCCUGGAGGAGGGAAUGGCAACCCACUCGAGUAUUCUUGCGUGAAGAAUUUCAAGGACAGAGGAGCCUGACUUGGAGUUAUGGGGCCAGAAGGACGCACAUUUCCAUGACUCGGAUAGGCGUUGCCAGAGCGCCCUUCUGAGAGGUCGAACCUGACGCCACCCCCCCAACAGCGCGGAGUCAGCGUUUCUCUCUCCCCGCUGACGUCUGCAGGUGGAGAUCCACAGGCUCGGAACUCUCUCCAGCUGCUGGUCCUGCAACCAUAUCCCCGAAGGCCCCAGGACUCCAGUUCCUCUUCUCCCAAUCCCCACCCCAAAGUACCCGAGAGAACCAGUCACCAGGCAGAUCCAGGGUCCCAAUGCCACCUGGCGUGGCCACCAGCAGACUCCAACCCCGCUCCCCUUCCACGUGGGCGCCUGAAUACCUCUUCUCGAGGCCCGCAGCCCCCACCUCUUGACGGGACAGCGAGCUUCUGAGUUAUCGGCAGCCUUAUUUCCCUCUACAGCUCCUACAGAGUUAACAGAUGUACGCACGUCUGAGGCAGUCAUGCGGCUGCCUUUGCCCUGGUGUACCGGGAGCUGGCCUGCGUCUCACCCUUCCUCGGAGAGACAAAGAAGUAAGUCUCAGGAAGAUGGAACGACUGGCCUGAAGUCAUGACGCUAGGAAGUGACAGAGCUGGUCUUGAACCCCGGUCUGCCUGAAGCCAAUGCCUGCGCUGAGCAUUUGACUGUUGCUCUCACCCCUGUGCUCCUUGUCACACCUCUGUGGCUCCACAUCGCUGGCAGCGAGGCUGAUGAAGCAGGCAGCCCCAUGCAUGGAUUCGCUCCUGCAGCGGGUGCUAUACUGGAGAGCUAAGAGCAAGGGUUCUUCACUGGGGCUUCCACAGAGCUCUUCAGGUUGUACACAGACUGUGAACACCUGUGUGUCUGUGUCUAUCCAGGGAGAAGGUGCACAGAGCCUUCAUCCCAAGUCUCUGAAUCUGGGGACUUCCCGGGUGGUCCAGUGGUUAAGACUCGUCGCUCCCCAAUGCGGGGGACCCAGGUUCAAUCCCUGCUCAGGGAACUAGAUCUCACAUGCCACAGUGAAGAUCAGAGAUCCUGUGUGCUGCCACUGAGACCCAGCGCAGCCAAAUAAAUAAAUGUUUAAAAGAAACUUCCGAAUCUGUGGAUGGGUAAACACCAGGACACCCCCCAAAGUUCCUGGGUCCCCCCCCAACCAGCACGUCUCCUGCUUCAGCUCGCAUCCAAGCACUGUCUCCCAUGAUGGACUCCCAGAGAAGAAAAGCGACAGGUCAAGGCAAAUGAACCCCGCACCCCAGCUGGGCUGCAAAGGAGGCCUCGGUCCCCUCUGUAAGCAAGAUCAGACCGGCCUGAAGGGAGGGAUGAGGCACAAAGCCUCCCAGGCACUGAUUUAUGUAG